Asparagus officinalis (garden asparagus) is the source of this 792-nucleotide long non-coding RNA. RefSeq lists it as uncharacterized. The transcript has 3 exons. The record is from RefSeq and is a predicted model, not a curated record. Lineage: Eukaryota; Viridiplantae; Streptophyta; Magnoliopsida; Asparagales; Asparagaceae.
CAGCUGCACCAAAAAAAACCAUCCCCUAACAAAUUCUUCAAAAACUUUUCCAGCACUCUCCUAUUUUCUUGGCGACGAUCUCUCUCUCUCUCUCUCUCCUCAUUUUCUUCUUCCACAAGAAACAUCAGUGAUGAACUCUUUGAUCAUGGGAUCGUUGGCGGCAAAGCACGGUCGUCGUCUCUUCUCAACGGCGGCGAUAUCUGCGUUGAAGCCAACUCCGUCUGGUCGGGUCACCGCGGUGGGCGUUCGCUUCGUCGGUACGAUCCUCUCCCUGGCUGAAGGUGGUGAUGGACCGAGAAGAAGGCUGUGACCGGAUCCGCCGGUGAGGGAAGGAGGAGAAGGCGGUCGCGAGCUACUGGGGCGUUGAGCCGCCCAAGACCGUGAAGGAGGACGGCAGCGAAUGGAAGUGGACUUGCUUUAAGCCAUGGGACACGUACUCGUCGGACUUGAAGAUCGAUCUGAAGAAGCAUCACGUGCCGGUCACGUGGGGAGACAAGCUGGCGAGGUGGACGGUGAAGUCGCUCCGUUGGCCAACCGACAUCUUCUUCCAGCCAACGAAUUAUCUGGACCGUCCACAGAACUGGGCGAUCUGGAUCUGCGGUUGCUAAUAUUCAGUCAUGCUUUUAUCACGUGACCGAGAUGUAUCGUGGAUGGGUUGAUGAUGUCUGCAACUACUUAUUUUUUUGUCAAAUUUGCUCUCCUUUUCUUGAAGAUCAAGAGGUGAGAGCCUAAUAGAAACGCUGAACGUUUGGAUUUACAGUUGAUAUAUUAGUUGAGCAAUAUUUCUACGAA